GCUUAUUUUUUAACCAAAUUUACUAUUCUUCUCAACUGUACUCUCUUUUUAUAUUAGAUUUACACUCAUUAUUACAGUAAGUUCUCAACCAUAUCUUGGUGUAAUAUGGCCAGUAAAUCAGUAAAUGCUGUAAUAUUAUCAAACUACCAUACAAAUGAACAAUUAUUGUUCAUAUGAAAUAGUUUGCCCAUCAUGUAUCAAUCAUUCCGAUAAUUAUAAAUAGAAUUUACAUAAAAUCAUAUUUAAGCAUUAAUAUUAUUUUAAGUUUAAUAAUUAUAAAUUUCCAAUUAAUUUUUUAAAAUUUAUAUUAGAUACUAUUGAAAGAAAUUUCUGCUACAAGGACAAGAGGAUCUACAUCUCAAUGUUAACCAGUCAUAUUAAAACACAUACUUCAGAUGACUAAGGGUUCAUGGGAAAUGGAUAGUGAUGAAAAAUUGGAGCAGUCAGAAAUAU
Long non-coding RNA from Centruroides sculpturatus (bark scorpion), 453 nucleotides. RefSeq lists it as uncharacterized. The transcript is spliced from 2 exons. The record is from RefSeq and is a predicted model, not a curated record. NCBI's taxonomy places the organism in Eukaryota, Metazoa, Arthropoda, Arachnida, Scorpiones, Buthidae.